UUGGGGAUCCAAAUCACCCCCUGAUCACGUCCCAUCUCGUCAGAGCUCGGAAGCUAAGCGGGGGUUUGAGCCUGGUUAGAACUUGCAUGGGAGACUGCCUCGGAAUGCCGCCAGGUGUUGCAGGCC
Molecule: ribosomal RNA, 126 nt
Filed under: Petromyzon marinus (sea lamprey)
Lineage: Eukaryota; Metazoa; Chordata; Hyperoartia; Petromyzontiformes; Petromyzontidae
Source: RNAcentral